RNAcentral lists this ribosomal RNA (280 nucleotides) under Segatella copri DSM 18205. Its description in RNAcentral is "Prevotella copri DSM 18205 partial 16S ribosomal RNA". It matches the Rfam family "Bacterial small subunit ribosomal RNA", at positions 494 to 776 of the family's 1533-position model. Lineage: Bacteria; Pseudomonadati; Bacteroidota; Bacteroidia; Bacteroidales; Prevotellaceae. The record is from RNAcentral.
UAUGUAAUUGUUCCGCAGCCGCGGUAAUACGGAAGGUCCGGGCGUUAUCCGGAUUUAUUGGGUUUAAAGGGAGCGUAGGCCGGAGAUUAAGCGUGUUGUGAAAUGUAGACGCUCAACGUCUGCACUGCAGCGCGAACUGGUUUCCUUGAGUACGCACAAAGUGGGCGGAAUUCGUGGUGUAGCGGUGAAAUGCUUAGAUAUCACGAAGAACUCCGAUUGCGAAGGCAGCUCACUGGAGCGCAACUGACGCUGAAGCUCGAAAGUGCGGGUAUCGAACAGG